AUCAUUCAAAGAGUGGAGUGUGUAUGGAGCAGGAGUGCCUCUCCUAUUAAAUGGGAGUGACACUGUUAAACAGUACUAUGUCCCGUCCUUGUCAGGCAUACAAUUGUAUGUAGACCCAAGUAGGUUGAGGAGGCAUGGAGAGUAUAGUGAUGCUGAGUCUUCAAAGGAGACAAGCGGUGCUGGUAGUAGUGACUUUGAAGCAGAAAAGCACACUAAAGGUGGUGUUGACGGUGCAGAUCAGCAUUAUCUCAAGAACUUAAACUCACAGGGAAUGCAGAGGCUUAUCUUGAGAGAUAAACCUCUUCAUUG
Molecule: unclassified non-coding RNA, 309 nt
Filed under: Hevea brasiliensis (rubber tree)
Lineage: Eukaryota; Viridiplantae; Streptophyta; Magnoliopsida; Malpighiales; Euphorbiaceae
Source: RNAcentral